Strigops habroptila (Kakapo) is the source of this 876-nucleotide long non-coding RNA. RefSeq lists it as uncharacterized. NCBI's taxonomy places the organism in Eukaryota, Metazoa, Chordata, Aves, Psittaciformes, Psittacidae. The record is from RefSeq and is a predicted model, not a curated record. The transcript is spliced from 2 exons.
CUGGGAAUACCAUAUGGAACAGUGGGAGUUCGGCGCGGUCCUGCCCUACCCACAGGGCUCUGUGGUGGCCGAUUGGUUUUGCCUCUUUCCCUGCAGUGUGUGGGGGGGUCACAUCCCCAUAAGCACCCCCAUAAACCGGGCAGCAAUGGGGGGAGUGGGGACAAAGCCCCUCAGGAGCCCCCAGCAUCGCUGUGCCCAUGCCAGGCUGGAGCCUUGCCUGACCCCAUCUUUAUCCCUUUAUUUCCUGCCUGCCCGCUGCAAAGCGGCUCCGUCAGCUCCGGCAUCAGCUCCGCAUCCUGAGCGGAGCGAGGAGGGGAGGACGCAGGGGCUGGCGGAGCGGCGGCUCUGCCGAGCAUCCCUUGUCCCUGCCGAGCAUCCCUUGUCCCUGCAGUGGGAAGCGCCCCUCCUCUCCCCCCCGGCUCCUCAUCACCAUGCUGGAUAUCUUCAUCCUGAUGUUUUUUGCCAUCAUCGGCCUGGUGAUUCUCUCCUACAUCAUUUACAUGCUGUAGAGCGGCGCUGGGGACAAUGCGGCUCAGCCAGCGGGGGGGUUUGCCAGCCACCACCGCUGCCUGCUCCAUCUGCCGCAGAAGCUUCUGGAAAAGCAUAACCCCUCUGCGAGCAAACGGAGAGAGGAAGGAGGGGAACGGGGUGGUGGGAGCGAGGGGACAUCCCGCUGCUGAGACACGGGAUGUUCCCGGUGGUGGACACAGCAUCCCAGGGGAUGUGGAAGGUCCUGCUCCCCCUCCCCACGUGGCUUCCCUUGGGAUGAGCGCUUCCAAGGGUUUAGUUUUAGAAAAGCCCUUCUAUUUUUAAAUGAGAAAUGUAAAACGUUGAAGGAAAUGAAAUAAAGAGGAAUGAGACGAGGGAGAGAACGCG